AUUUAAAUUAACAACAUCGAGAAUGCCUCAUCUUGUCAGAUCUUGGAAACUAAGCAGGAGUGAGUCUGGUUAGUACUGGGAUGGGAGAACACCGGUUACCAGUGUAAGGC
Molecule: ribosomal RNA, 110 nt
Filed under: Periophthalmus magnuspinnatus
Lineage: Eukaryota; Metazoa; Chordata; Actinopteri; Gobiiformes; Gobiidae
Source: RNAcentral